Molecule: ribosomal RNA, 1201 nt
Filed under: Syacium micrurum (channel flounder)
Lineage: Eukaryota; Metazoa; Chordata; Actinopteri; Pleuronectiformes; Cyclopsettidae
Description: partial 16S ribosomal RNA
Rfam family: Bacterial large subunit ribosomal RNA
Source: RNAcentral
GCAGAGAUGAUACCUCGUACCUUUUGCAUCAUGAAUUAAUAAGCACAUGUUGAGCACAACGUCUUUUAGCCCAAUACCCCGAAAUUAAGUGAGCUACCCCAAGACAGCCUAUUGAUAAGGGCUAACCCGUCCCUGUUGCAAAAGGGUGGGAAGAGCUUUGGGUAGAGGUGAAAAGCCUACCGAACUUAAUAAUAGCUGGUUACCAGAUAAUUGAACUUUAGUUUAGCCCCCGGGGUUCUUCCCAAACCCGGGAGGUCAUUCAAAGAGGGUUCAGCCUCUUUGAAGCAGGGAACAACCUUUUUCGGCGGAUAAAGAUUAUAUUUUAUAAUAAGGGAAAGCGUACCCCGGUAGGACCAGAAGCACCCACCCAGCAAGAAAGCGUUAUAGCUCAAACACACUAUCCCAAUAAACCUAUCUGACUCCCCUAGCACCAGCUGGUCGUCCGACUUUCGAUUCGGAGCGAUAAUGUUAACAUGAGUAAUAAGGGACGAGUUUCUCCGCGCACAGGUAUAGAUCGAAAUGGACAAGCCAUCGAAUAUUAACGACCUCAUUAAAAGAGAGAGAACUAGCCAACAACGAGAAAACCCGCCACCGUUAACCCCACACCGGAGUGCAAACGCGGACCGGCUUAAAGAAAGAGAAGGAACUCGGCAAACAAGCCCCGCCUGUUUACCAAAAACACCGCCUCUUGCACGUAUAAGAGGUCGCGCCUGCCCAGUGACAUCUUGUUAAACGGCCGCAGUAUUUUGACUGUGCUAAGGUAGCGUAAUCACUUGUCUUUUAAAUGAAGACCCGUAUGAAAGGUAUGACGAGGGCUUAACUGUCUCCUCUUUCCAGCCAAUGAAAUUGAUUUCCCCGUGCAGAAGCGGGGAUAAAGACAUAAGACGAGAAGACCCUAUGGAGCUUUAGGCAACAGUGCAGACCAUGUCAAAGUGCUCACCAAGCUAUAAACAAGUGGCCCCUGCCAAGUGCCUUGGGUUGGGGCGACCCUGGGGAAAGCAAAACCCCCACGCGGAAUGGGAGCACUCCUCCAAAACCAGAGCCACCUCUCGAACAAUCGGAACUUCCGACCAAUCUGAUCCGGACACCCGAUCAACGGACUAAGUUACCCUAGGGAUAACAGCGCAAUCCCCUUCAAGAGCCCUUAUCGCCAAGGGGGUUUACGACCUCGAUGUUGGAUCAGGACAUCCUAAUGGUGCAG